AAACGCAAGCUUUCUACACAUUUGGCUGAAAAGCCCAGCAGUGCACGACACACCACAGAGCCGUUGUCUUAAAGAGUCCGGGUCUACAUCUCACCUGAAGUCAACUAGAAGAGAGUCCAGCUCAUCAAUGACCGUAAUGAGGAUAGCACCGUAAUUUGUUUGGAUUCAAGCCAAGCUUCCGAAGAUCAAGACCCAUGGCUACCAGCAUCUGGAGCAAGGUGAAAUGGACAGCCUUUGGCUGGAGUUCUGUUGUUGCGAGUGGCUUCCAAGCUCCUGUCCCAGCAGUGCAGGGCCCGCGGCAGAGAAGUGCCUCGAACUUGGAAAGUCAUCCAGUUGCUGAGAGAACAACAAGCAGCUGUUCUUCAUCAAAUAGCCACUGCACAACAAAUAGAGGGGCUGCAGAGAAAACAAAAAGGUACUGUCACCGCAACUGGCAUUUAACUCAGAAAAAGUAAUGCUGAAGAAUGCGAUCACCGAGCUGAAAUGAAUUGAGAAAUCUCGAGCAAUCUGGAUGGACAUCAGUGCUUCGACAACUAUCACCCUCUUUUGCUUUGCUGUCUUGAAAUUUACUGUUAAUAUGCAUUUCUGUAGAACAUAUUCCAAAGUCUUUGGACUGAGGAACCUAACACCUCAAAUGAAUGCUGAAAAAGUUGGUCAUGCUGUUCUUGGCAUGAGUUUGAAUUUGUGGUGAUAACUAACAGAAACAAAGGUACACAAUUCAACACGAUUCAGCAGUUUUUACCUUUACAGUCUAUUUGUUUGGUUACUGAUUGUUUUGGCCCAGUCUUUACAUUCUGUAUUUUAUGGAAUUUCACAUUCUGCCAAAACAUUCUAGAUCCUUCUUCUCUUAUUGUCAACACCAAGACACGACUGAAGAAAGCAGCAGGUAUUGAGCAACCAACAAAUGCAAUCCAACCGUAAAAGGAGGGUAAACCCGGGUCACUCAAAUACCAUAGAAAAUGACAAUAUCAACAAAUAUUAGAUUAUUUUCCCCCCAAUAAUAAUUAACAUUUAAUGCCUGUUACCAUUUAAGGUGUAUCAUGCAACUAACAAACAAAAAAAUAAAACAGAAUGCAAACAAGCA
Hippocampus comes (tiger tail seahorse) is the source of this 1084-nucleotide long non-coding RNA. RefSeq lists it as uncharacterized. The transcript is spliced from 5 exons. The record is from RefSeq and is a predicted model, not a curated record. NCBI's taxonomy places the organism in Eukaryota, Metazoa, Chordata, Actinopteri, Syngnathiformes, Syngnathidae.